This 29-nucleotide small RNA is filed under the name Bombyx mori (domestic silkworm). Its description in RNAcentral is "ovarian small RNA-36135". The record is from RNAcentral. Lineage: Eukaryota; Metazoa; Arthropoda; Insecta; Lepidoptera; Bombycidae.
UGUUCUGGAUGCUGGAGUUUAAGACACAC